GGCCUACGUAAAAUUUAGAAGUACAUUUUAUGAAGUGAAUCAAGUACGUAAAAUAUUAUUCAUAAAAAAUAUAUCUAUGUUAUUAAGGCGGCCCCCGAGAACUGUCAAAAUUAAACUGUCAAAUCAAAAAAAUAUGUGUUUUUACCCUUUUUUACUUUUAUACAUAGCUAUCUCAAAAUAGACAACAAUUUUCAGCCGGAAACCAUUGUGGCACCUCCAACUGGCAAAUAAAUUUUGAAAGUGUGUUGGGUUCAAUUUUUGCAUGCAUAUUUACAAUGAUGUUGUGCAUGAAUGGUGUAUUUUUUUCCGAUCUGUGCAGUAUCUUGCGUGUGGCACCCAAGUCUUAGAUCAUCUUGAAAAUGGAUUCAAUACUAAAUAAAAAAUGUGUAGUUUUGUGGGGAAUUAAUUUCUUAUCAUUUUGCUUUUUAUUUGGUACUGCUCCGGGGUCUAUUUUUGAGAUAUGUAUAAGGUAAGAACACAUCAUUUUGAAAGUUCUCGGGGGCCGCCUUAAUUUGGUUCAUUUCGGAGCACAUCUUAAAAACAGAGUUUUGAGGUGGUACACAAAAAUUUAGUUGUUUUAGCAGUUGAGGGCAAUCAAUUUUAUUGUGUAUAAUUUUAAAAAGAAAUAAAAAAAGAAUAAUACAAAUCGAGAAUGGUAAGUGUACAGGCUGGUGUCUAAAAUUUCAGUAUUUUCAUAUCAUUAGAAGUUGCGAUUUUCGUGGGGGCGCGAAAUGUGGUUCAAGUAUUGGAAAACUAGUUUCUAGCCAAAAAAUCUAAACUUUUCAAACCUUCAAAACUGAAACAAUGAGUAUAAAAUAGGUUGGUAAUAUGGUUGUGCAAACCGAUUUGUUUGUAUUUAUAAUUUUCGAAUUCGAAAUUUUUGAAAAGU
This is a long non-coding RNA of Tribolium castaneum (red flour beetle), 889 nucleotides long. RefSeq lists it as uncharacterized. Lineage: Eukaryota; Metazoa; Arthropoda; Insecta; Coleoptera; Tenebrionidae. The transcript has 3 exons. The record is from RefSeq and is a predicted model, not a curated record.